RNAcentral lists this ribosomal RNA (109 nucleotides) under Jaculus jaculus (lesser Egyptian jerboa). Lineage: Eukaryota; Metazoa; Chordata; Mammalia; Rodentia; Dipodidae. The record is from RNAcentral.
GUGUACAGCCAUACCACCUGAACGUACUGUCAUCUGGUCUCAAGCUAAGCAGGAGUGGACCUGAUUAGUACUUGUAUGGAGAAGUAUGUAGUGGAAGAGACUGUUCAUU